RNAcentral lists this ribosomal RNA (420 nucleotides) under bacterium. Its description in RNAcentral is "partial 16S ribosomal RNA". It matches the Rfam family "Bacterial small subunit ribosomal RNA", at positions 355 to 776 of the family's 1533-position model. The record is from RNAcentral.
UGGGGGAUAUUGCACAAUGGGCGAAAGCCUGAUGCAGCGACGCCGCGUGGGGGAUGAAGGCUUUCGGGUUGUAAACCUCUUUCGCUAUCGAACGAGGCCCGCUUAGGGUGGGUUGAGGGUAGGUGGAGAAGAAGCGCCGGCUAACUACGUGCCAGCAGCCGCGGUAAUACGUAGGGCGCGAGCGUUGUCCGGAAUUAUUGGGCGUAAAGGGCUUGUAGGCGGCUUGUUGCGCCUGCUGUGAAAACGCGGGGCUUAACUUCGCGCGUGCAGUGGGUACGGGCAGGCUUGAGUGUGGUAGGGGUGACUGGAAUUCCAGGUGUAGCGGUGGAAUGCGCAGAUAUCUGGAGGAACACCGAUGGCGAAGGCAGGUCACUGGGCCAUUACUGACGCUGAGGAGCGAAAGCAUGGGUAGCGAACAGG